Molecule: ribosomal RNA, 1369 nt
Filed under: uncultured bacterium
Lineage: Bacteria
Description: bacterial SSU rRNA
Rfam family: Bacterial small subunit ribosomal RNA
Source: RNAcentral
GACGAACGCUGGCGGCAUGCCUAAUACAUGCAAGUAGAACGCUGAAGAGAGGAGCUUGCUCUUCUUGGAUGAGUUGCGAACGGGUGAGUAACGCGUAGGUAACCUGCCUUGUAGCGGGGGAUAACUAUCGGAAACGAUAGCUAAUACCGCAUAACAAUGGAUGACACAUGUCAUUUAUUUGAAAGGGGCAAUUGCUCCACUACAAGAUGGACCUGCGUUGUAUUAGCUAGUAGGUGAGGUAACGGCUCACCUAGGCGACGAUACAUAGCCGACCUGAGAGGGUGAUCGGCCACACUGGGACUGAGACACGGCCCAGACUCCUACGGGAGGCAGCAGUAGGGAAUCUUCGGCAAUGGGGGCAACCCUGACCGAGCAACGCCGCGUGAGUGAAGAAGGUUUUCGGAUCGUAAAGCUCUGUUGUAAGUCAAGAACGAGUGUGAGAGUGGAAAGUUCACACUGUGACGGUAGCUUACCAGAAAGGGACGGCUAACUACGUGCCAGCAGCCGCGGUAAUACGUAGGUCCCGAGCGUUGUCCGGAUUUAUUGGGCGUAAAGCGAGCGCAGGCGGUUUGAUAAGUCUGAAGUUAAAGGCUGUGGCUCAACCAUAGUUCGCUUUGGAAACUGUCAAACUUGAGUGCAGAAGGGGAGAGUGGAAUUCCAUGUGUAGCGGUGAAAUGCGUAGAUAUAUGGAGGAACACCGGUGGCGAAAGCGGCUCUCUGGUCUGUAACUGACGCUGAGGCUCGAAAGCGUGGGGAGCGAACAGGAUUAGAUACCCUGGUAGUCCACGCCGUAAACGAUGAGUGCUAGGUGUUGGAUCCUUUCCGGGAUUCAGUGCCGCAGCUAACGCAUUAAGCACUCCGCCUGGGGAGUACGACCGCAAGGUUGAAACUCAAAGGAAUUGACGGGGGCCCGCACAAGCGGUGGAGCAUGUGGUUUAAUUCGAAGCAACGCGAAGAACCUUACCAGGUCUUGACAUCCCGAUGCUAUUUCUAGAGAUAGAAAGUUACUUCGGUACAUCGGUGACAGGUGGUGCAUGGUUGUCGUCAGCUCGUGUCGUGAGAUGUUGGGUUAAGUCCCGCAACGAGCGCAACCCCUAUUGUUAGUUGCCAUCAUUCAGUUGGGCACUCUAGCGAGACUGCCGGUAAUAAACCGGAGGAAGGUGGGGAUGACGUCAAAUCAUCAUGCCCCUUAUGACCUGGGCUACACACGUGCUACAAUGGUUGGUACAACGAGUUGCGAGUCGGUGACGGCAAGCUAAUCUCUUAAAGCCAAUCUCAGUUCGGAUUGUAGGCUGCAACUCGCCUACAUGAAGUCGGAAUCGCUAGUAAUCGCGGAUCAGCACGCCGCGGUGAAUACGUUCCCGGGCCU